GAUGAACGCUAGCUACAGGCUUAACACAUGCAAGUCGAGGGGAAACGGCAUCGAAAGCUUGCUUUUGAUGGGCGUCGCCCGGCGCACGGGCGAGUAACGCGUAUCCAACCUGCGCAUCACUUGGGAAUAACCUUGCGAAACUAAGACUAAUGCCCAAUGACCUACCACGAAGGCCUCCGAAUGGGAUUAAAGAUGUUUCGGUGAUGGAUGGGGAUGCGUGUGAUUAGCUUGUUGGCGGGGUGACGGCCCACCAAGGCAAGGAUCAGUACGGGUCCUGAGAGGUAGGUAGCCCACAUGGGAGCUGGGACACCGACAAUAGGACUACGGCAGGGAGCAGAGAGGAACAUUGGGCAACGGGGGAGAGCCUGACCCAGCCAAGUAGCGUGCAGGACGACGACGCUAUGGGUAGUAAGCAGGUUUUAGGAGUGAAAAAUGUUUGUCACGGGUAACUUUUUGAAGGUACCUGAUGAAUAAGCACCGGCUAAUUCCGUG
Molecule: ribosomal RNA, 492 nt
Filed under: uncultured bacterium
Lineage: Bacteria
Description: partial 16S ribosomal RNA
Rfam family: Bacterial small subunit ribosomal RNA
Source: RNAcentral